This 253-nucleotide ribosomal RNA is filed under the name uncultured bacterium. RNAcentral's name for it is "partial 16S ribosomal RNA". It matches the Rfam family "Bacterial small subunit ribosomal RNA", at positions 524 to 776 of the family's 1533-position model. The record is from RNAcentral.
UACGAAGGGGGCUAGCGUUGCUCGGAAUCACUGGGCGUAAAGCGCACGUAGGCGGCUUUCUAAGUCAGGGGUGAAAUCCUGGAGCUCAACUCCAGAACUGCCUUUGAUACUGGAGAGCUUGAGUCCGGAAGAGGUGAGUGGAACUCCGAGUGUAGAGGUGAAAUUCGUAGAUAUUCGGAAGAACACCGGUGGCGAAGGCGGCAUUCUGGACUGCAACUGACACUGAAAGACGAAAGCCAGGGGAGCAAACGGG